RNAcentral lists this ribosomal RNA (253 nucleotides) under uncultured bacterium. RNAcentral describes it as "partial 16S ribosomal RNA". It matches the Rfam family "Bacterial small subunit ribosomal RNA", at positions 524 to 776 of the family's 1533-position model. The record is from RNAcentral.
GACGUAGGGUGCGAGCGUUGUCCGGAUUUAUUGGGCGUAAAGAGCUCGUAGGCGGCUUGUUGCGUCGACUGUGAAAACCCGCGGCUUAACCGCGGGCUUGCAGUUGAUACGGGCAGGCUAGAGUUCGGUAGGGGAGACUGGAAUUCCUGGUGUAGCGGUGAAAUGCGCAGAUAUCAGGAGGAACACCGGUGGCGAAGGCGGGUCUCUGGGCCGAUACUGACGCUGAGGCGCGAAAGCGUGGGGAGCGAACAGG